Molecule: ribosomal RNA, 492 nt
Filed under: uncultured bacterium
Lineage: Bacteria
Description: partial 16S ribosomal RNA
Rfam family: Bacterial small subunit ribosomal RNA
Source: RNAcentral
AGUGAACGCUGGCGGUAGGCCUAACACAUGCAAGUCGAACGGCAGCACAGUAAGAGCUUGCUCUUACGGGUGGCGAGUGGCGGACGGGUGAGGAAUACAUCGGAAUCUACUUUUUAGUGGGGGAUAACGUAGGGAAACUUACGCUAAUACCGCAUACGACCUACGGGUGAAGGCAGGGGAUCUUCGGACCUUGCGCGAUUGAAUGAGCCGAUGUCGGAUUAGCUAGUUGGCGGGGUAAAGGCCCACCAAGGCGACGAUCCGUAGCUGGUCUGAGAGGAUGAUCAGCCACACUGGAACUGAGACACGGUCCAGACUCCUACGGGAGGCAGCAGUGGGGAAUAUUGGACAAUGGGCGCAAGCCUGAUCCAGCCAUACCGCGUGGGUGAAGAAGGCCUUCGGGUUGUAAAGCCCUUUUGUUGGGAAAGAAAAGCAGCAGGUUAAUACCCCGCUGUUCUGACGGUACCCAAAGAAUAAGCACCGGCUAACUUCGUG